CCUACGGGCGGCUGCAGUGAGGAAUAUUGGUCAAUGGGCGGGAGCCUGAACCAGCCAAGUCGCGUGAGGGAAGACGGUCCUAUGGAUUGUAAACCUCUUUAGGCGGGGAGCAAUGCCGGGCACGCGUGCCCGGAGGGAGAGUACCCGCAGAAUAAGCAUCGGCUAACUCCGUGCCAGCAGCCGCGGUAAUACGGGGGAUGCGAGCGUUGUCCGGAUUUAUGGGGGUUAAAGGGUGCGUAGGCGGAUUUUUAAGUCAGCGGUAAAAUGUCCGGGCUCAACCCGGGCCGGCCGUUGAAACUGGGGAUCUUGAGUGGGCGAGAAGUAUGCGGAAUGCGUGGUGUAGCGGUGAAAUGCAUAGAUAUCACGCAGAACUCCGAUUGCGAAGGCAGCAUACCGGCGCCCGACUGACGCUGAGGCACGAAAGCGUGGGGAUCGAACAGGAUUAGAUACCCCAGUAGUC
This 460-nucleotide ribosomal RNA is filed under the name uncultured bacterium. RNAcentral describes it as "partial 16S ribosomal RNA". It matches the Rfam family "Bacterial small subunit ribosomal RNA", at positions 338 to 795 of the family's 1533-position model. The record is from RNAcentral.